This 274-nucleotide ribosomal RNA is filed under the name uncultured bacterium. Its description in RNAcentral is "partial 16S ribosomal RNA". It matches the Rfam family "Bacterial small subunit ribosomal RNA", at positions 523 to 796 of the family's 1533-position model. The record is from RNAcentral.
AUACGAAGGGUGCAAGCGUUACUCGGAAUCACUGGGCGUAAAGCGCGCGCAGGCGGGCUGAUAAGUUGGAUGUGAAAGCCUACGGCUCAACCGUAGAACUGCAUCCAAAACUGUCAGUCUAGAGUGUGGGAGAGGAAGAUGGAAUUAGUUGUGUAGGGGUAAAAUCCGUAGAGAUAACUAGGAAUACCAAAAGCGAAGGCAAUCUUCUGGAACACUACUGACGCUGAGGCGCGAAGGCGUGGGGAGCAAACAGGAUUAGAAACCCCAGUAGUCC